This 747-nucleotide ribosomal RNA is filed under the name uncultured bacterium. Its description in RNAcentral is "bacterial SSU rRNA". It matches the Rfam family "Bacterial small subunit ribosomal RNA", at positions 182 to 917 of the family's 1533-position model. The record is from RNAcentral.
UGAACCGCAUGGUUCAAAAGUGAAAGACGGUCUUGCUGUCACUUAUAGAUGGAUCCGCGCUGCAUUAGCUAGUUGGUAAGGUAACGGCUUACCAAGGCAACGAUGCAUAGCCGACCUGAGAGGGUGAUCGGCCACACUGGAACUGAGACACGGUCCAGACUCCUACGGGAGGCAGCAGUAGGGAAUCUUCCGCAAUGGGCGAAAGCCUGACGGAGCAACGCCGCGUGAGUGAUGAAGGUCUUCGGAUCGUAAAACUCUGUUAUUAGGGAAGAACAUAUGUGUAAGUAACUGUGCACAUCUUGACGGUACCUAAUCAGAAAGCCACGGCUAACUACGUGCCAGCAGCCGCGGUAAUACGUAGGUGGCAAGCGUUAUCCGGAAUUAUUGGGCGUAAAGCGCGCGUAGGCGGUUUUUUAAGUCUGAUGUGAAAGCCCACGGCUCAACCGUGGAGGGUCAUUGGAAACUGGAAAACUUGAGUGCAGAAGAGGAAAGUGGAAUUCCAUGUGUAGCGGUGAAAUGCGCAGAGAUAUGGAGGAACACCAGUGGCGAAGGCGACUUUCUGGUCUGUAACUGACGCUGAUGUGCGAAAGCGUGGGGAUCAAACAGGAUUAGAUACCCUGGUAGUCCACGCCGUAAACGAUGAGUGCUAAGUGUUAGGGGGUUUCCGCCCCUUAGUGCUGCAGCUAACGCAUUAAGCACUCCGCCUGGGGAGUACGACCGCAAGGUGAAACUAAAGGAAUUGACGGG